CAGCUGGCCCCUGGACGCAAGACAAAAAGGCCCUUCUAGCUUCCAGGUUGUAUGCUUGUGUGAUGAGUCCAGCCUAAGUCCCCUCCUCCCCCAGCUAACCCUUCAGCGUGUCCCCUCUUGUCUUAACCCCAACCCAUGCAGCUGAGCUGUCCCUGCAGAGGGUGAGGGCUGUGCUGCUCCAUGGACGGACAUGGGGCUUCCUCCUGGGUCUGGCUCCUGCAUAGCUCAUCCCACCUCAUCAUGAGCCUCAACUGCCUACGUCUUGGCCAAGCAGCACACUGGCUACAGAAGGGACAGCCACCUCUGUCUAUCUGGGACAGGUCCCCUGCAGGCCUCCUCCAUCUUCAGCCUCUGUCCCCUGGCCUGGCCCCUCUGUUCUUCUGUGGCUCACAGAGAGCAAGGCAAGGCAACCAGGGGAAGAGGAUGAAAGGCCCCAGCAUGUCCCAGUGGUGAGGCAGCGUCCGGCCGCCAUCGCUUAGAAGGAUGCCCCUGAGGAAGCUGGCCCUGGGAGCAGCCUGGCGGUGCCAGCCAAAGCCCCUCGUGGAGAGUCAGCAGGCUUGGGCAGCUGUUUCCACACCAAGGUGGUGGCUUCUCUGCAAACCAGCCCAGGGGAGGACUCCAGGGUGGACGGCCUUCAAGGUCCAUCCCAUGCUGACGCAGAAGCUCUCAGAACACUCAGGAAACCUCUCCGGACAGAGCCCUCUUUGUCAACCCGAGACCCUCCCAAGGCCUCUACUGCCCUCUGGGUCUAGCAGAGGGGGUGGAAGAGGGGCCACUCCCUCCCACCUAGAGCUUCUCCGAAUGACAAUCAGCUCGUGCCAGGAAGGAUCCAGGGCAGAGGAAACCAUGCCUCCCAGUGUCCCCACCCCCAGCGCCAGCCUCUUCCCCCUUGAGCACCCAUCCCCUCCACCAAGCCCUCCUGGUCCUGAGCCCUUUCUCUAUAAAAGAGUGUCACACCACCCCUAGCACCACCCCACCCCUCUAGCACUUCCCCAUCGUGACAAACCUGUGUCAUUGGCUCAGACACAGGUCUGCUCACCCCAGAACAUGCCUCCCCUCCCCAAGCCACACUGGCACGAAGCGGGUGCAGGAGAAGGGCCAUGUCCCGUUCACGUGGGCACCCCCCUUCUGGGCUCCUCACAGGGGCCUGGCUCAGUCUUCUCAGCUCCGGGGAUCAGCCCUGGUGGGCAUGGAGUGGGGGGCAGGGAGGUGCCCUCCCCCUCCCCCAGGGAAGCCACUGAAGAAUGUUUACACGCCAAACAGAAUGUAACACCCUCCCCCACCUCUUCCCAGUCACUGCAUGGCCUCUGCCCACCCUGCACCUGUCCACCCCCACCCCAACACCCUGGAAGCCGCUGUCAUGAUUAGAUCGGGUCUCGGAAGGGAAGUAGCCAUCACACCAUUAAAAAGCCUGUGGACCUUUC
This is a long non-coding RNA of Hyaena hyaena (striped hyena), 1424 nucleotides long. RefSeq lists it as uncharacterized. The record is from RefSeq and is a predicted model, not a curated record. Lineage: Eukaryota; Metazoa; Chordata; Mammalia; Carnivora; Hyaenidae. The transcript is spliced from 2 exons.